UUGACAGUCCAUGAUGAGUUGCUGAGUAUUGCCUACAUUGUUUGACAAAUAUUUUUGUGAUAAUAUUGCAACUUCUGAGGCUUAA
Molecule: non-coding RNA, 85 nt
Organism: Brachypodium distachyon (stiff brome)
Lineage: Eukaryota; Viridiplantae; Streptophyta; Magnoliopsida; Poales; Poaceae
Source: Rfam